Molecule: ribosomal RNA, 496 nt
Filed under: Petasospora fabianii
Lineage: Eukaryota; Fungi; Ascomycota; Saccharomycetes; Phaffomycetales; Wickerhamomycetaceae
Description: SSU rRNA
Rfam family: Eukaryotic small subunit ribosomal RNA
Source: RNAcentral
AUAGCGUAUAUUAAAGUUGUUGCAGUUAAAAAGCUCGUAGUUGAACUUUGGGCUUGGUUGGCCGGUCCGUUUUUAUGACGUGUACUGGUUCCAACCGAGCCUUUCCUUCUGGCUAACUAUCCUUUCGGGGGUAGCGAACCAGGACUUUUACUUUGAAAAAAUUAGAGUGUUCAAAGCAGGCCUUUGCUCGAAUAUAUUAGCAUGGAAUAAUAGAAUAGGACGUUUGGUUCUAUUUUGUUGGUUUCUAGGACCAUCGUAAUGAUUAAUAGGGACGGUCGGGGGCAUCAGUAUUCAAUUGUCAGAGGUGAAAUUCUUGGAUUUAUUGAAGACUAACUACUGCGAAAGCAUUUGCCAAGGACGUUUUCAUUAAUCAAGAACGAAAGUUAGGGGAUCGAAGAUGAUCAGAUACCGUCGUAGUCUUAACCAUAAACUAUGCCGACUAGGGAUCGGGUGUUGUUUUUUUAACGACUCACUCGGCACCUUACGAGAAAUCAAA